This 504-nucleotide ribosomal RNA is filed under the name uncultured Scopulariopsis. RNAcentral's name for it is "SSU rRNA". It matches the Rfam family "Eukaryotic small subunit ribosomal RNA", at positions 547 to 1056 of the family's 1831-position model. The record is from RNAcentral. Lineage: Eukaryota; Fungi; Ascomycota; Sordariomycetes; Microascales.
AUUGGAGGGCAAGUCUGGUGCCAGCAGCCGCGGUAAUUCCAGCUCCAAUAGCGUAUAUUAAAGUUGUUGUGGUUAAAAAGCUCGUAGUCGAACCUUGGGCCUGGCUGGCCGGUCCCCCUCACCGGGUGCACUGAUCCAGCCGGGCCUUUCCCUCUGUGGAACCCCAUGGCCUUCACUGGCUGUGCGGGGGAAACAGGACUUUUACUGUGAAAAAAUUAGAGUGCUCCAGGCAGGCCUAUGCUCGAAUACAUUAGCAUGGAAUAAUAGAAUAGGACGUGUGGUUCUAUUUUGUUGGUUUCUAGGACCGCCGUAAUGAUUAAUAGGGACAGUCGGGGGCAUCAGUAUUCAAUUGUCAGAGGUGAAAUUCUUGGAUCUAUUGAAGACUAACUACUGCGAAAGCAUUUGCCAAGGAUGUUUUCAUUGAUAAGGAACGAAAGUUAGGGGAUCGAAGACGAUCAGAUACCGUCGUAGUCUUAACUAUAAACUAUGCCGACUAGGGAUCGG